Molecule: long non-coding RNA, 610 nt
Filed under: Homo sapiens (human)
Lineage: Eukaryota; Metazoa; Chordata; Mammalia; Primates; Hominidae
Description: IGFL2 antisense RNA 1
Source: RNAcentral
GCUGACUCUCUUUUCAGAUUCAGCCCAGUUGCACCCAAGUAAAAUAAACAGUCUUGUUGCUCACACAAAGCCUGUUGGUGGACUCUCUUCAUAUGGACUCAUGUGACAUUUGGUGCCGAAGACCUGAGACAGGAGGACUCCUUUGGGAGACCGGUCCCCUGUCCUCGCCCUCUCUCCAUGAGAUCCACCCAUGACCUCGGGUCCUCAGCCCAGCCGAAGGAACUUCUCACCAAUUUUAAAUCGGGGACGCAAAGCCAACAAGAAUGAAGAAGUGGCCAGGAAAUUAAAGCAAUGUGAACACCCUCUGGCCAGCCUGUUGGAGGGUGAGAGACCACAUGGAGGAGACAGAGCCCUGAUGUCCCAGCUGAGGACAUCCCAGAAAAGCCUAUUUCCAGACAACUGAGGACAGCUGCCAAACAGGGAAGGGCCGCCUGUCCAGUGGAUACAUGACCCACAUGACCUUACCUAUCAUUGGAGAUGGCUCACACUGCUCACCCUGCCCCCUUGUCUUGUAUCCAAUAAAUAACAGCGCAGCCUGGCAUUCGGGGCCACUACUGGUCACUGUGUCUUGGUGGUAGUGGUUCCCCGGGCCCAGCUGUUUUUUCUUUUA